RNAcentral lists this ribosomal RNA (460 nucleotides) under uncultured bacterium. Its description in RNAcentral is "partial 16S ribosomal RNA". It matches the Rfam family "Bacterial small subunit ribosomal RNA", at positions 338 to 795 of the family's 1533-position model. The record is from RNAcentral.
CCUACGGGGUGCAGCAGUGAGGAAUAUUGGUCAAUGGACGAGAGUCUGAACCAGCCAAGUAGCGUGAAGGAUGACUGCCCUAUGGGUUGUAAACUUCUUUUAUAAAGGAAUAAAACGACGCACGUGUGCCUUUUUGCAUGUACUUUAUGAAUAAGGAUCGGCUAACUCCUUGCCAGCGGCCGCGGUAAUACGGAGGAUCCGAGCGUUAUCCGGAUUUAUUGGGUUUAAAGGGAGCGUAGAUGGGUUGUUAAGUCAGGUGUGAAAGUUUGCGGCUCAACCGUAAAAUUGCAAUUGAUACUGGCAGUCUUGAGUGCAGUAGAGGAAGGCGGAAUUCGAGGUGUAGCGGUGAAAUGCGUAGAUAUCACGAAGAACACCGAUUGCGAAGGCAGCUUACUAAACUGUGACUGACGUUGAUGCUCGAAAGUGUGGGGAUCAAACAGGAUUAGAUACCCGUGUAGUC